UGGGGAAUAUUGCACAAUGGAGGAAACUCUGAUGCAGCGACGCCGCGUGAACGAUGAAGGCCUUCGGGUCGUAAAGUUCUGUCCUUGGGGACGAUAAUGACGGUACCCAAGGAGGAAGCCCCGGCUAACUACGUGCCAGCAGCCGCGGUAAUACGUAGGGGGCGAGCGUUGUCCGGAAUUAUUGGGCGUAAAGGGUUCGUAGGCGGUUAUUUAAGUCAGAUGUGAAAGGCAUAGGCUCAACCUGUGUAAGCAUUUGAAACUGAGUAACUUGAGUUAAGGAGAGGAAAGUGGAAUUCCUAGUGUAGCGGUGAAAUGCGUAGAUAUUAGGAGGAAUACCAGUGGCGAAGGCGACUUUCUGGACUUAUACUGACGCUGAGGAACGAAAGCGUGGGGAGCAAACAGG
RNAcentral lists this ribosomal RNA (403 nucleotides) under uncultured bacterium. RNAcentral's name for it is "bacterial SSU rRNA". It matches the Rfam family "Bacterial small subunit ribosomal RNA", at positions 355 to 776 of the family's 1533-position model. The record is from RNAcentral.